Molecule: ribosomal RNA, 386 nt
Filed under: uncultured Bacteroidota bacterium
Lineage: Bacteria; Pseudomonadati; Bacteroidota
Description: bacterial SSU rRNA
Rfam family: Bacterial small subunit ribosomal RNA
Source: RNAcentral
AAGCUAGAACCAGUCAUGCCGCGUGCAGGAUGAAGGCCCUACGGGUCGUAAACUGCUUUUAUUCGGGAAGAAAAAGUCUGUUUCUACAGACCUUGACGGUACCGAUUGAAUAAGGACCGGCCAACUCCGUGCCAGCAGCCGCGGUAAUACGGAGGGUCCAAGCGUUAUCCGGAUUCACUGGGUUUAAAGGGUGCGCAGGCGGCUAAGUAAGUCAGUGGUGAAAGCCUUCGGCUCAACCGGAGAAUUGCCAUUGAAACUACUUAGCUUGAGUGCAGUAGAGGUAGGCGGAAUGUAGCAUGUAGCGGUGAAAUGCAUAGAUAUGCUACAGAACACCGAUAGCGAAAGCAGUUUACCACACUGUAACUGACGCUGAGGCACGAAAGCAU